AUUGAACGCUGGCGGCAGGCCUAACACAUGCAAGUCGAACGGUAACAGGAAACAGCUUGCUGUUUCGCUGACGAGUGGCGGACGUGUGAGUAAUGUCUGGGAAACUGCCUGAUGGAGGGGGAUAACUACUGGAAACGGUAGCUAAUACCGCAUAACGUCGCAAGACCAAAGAGGGGGACCUUCGGGCCUCUUGCCAUCGGCUGUGCCCAGAUGGGAUUAGCUAGUAGGUGGGGUAACGGCUCACCUAGGCGACGAUCCCUAGCUGGUCUGAGAGGAUGACCAGCCACACUGGAACUGAGACACGGUCCAGACUCCUACGGGAGGCAGCAGUGGGGAAUAUUGCACAAUGGGCGCAAGCCUGAUGCAGCAAUGCCGCGUGUAUGAAGAAGGCCUUCGGGUUGUAAAGUACUUUCAGCGGGGAGGAAGGGAGUAAAGUUAAUACCUUUGCUCAUUGACGUUACCCGCAGAAGAAGCACCGGCUAACUCCGUG
RNAcentral lists this ribosomal RNA (490 nucleotides) under uncultured bacterium. Its description in RNAcentral is "partial 16S ribosomal RNA". It matches the Rfam family "Bacterial small subunit ribosomal RNA", at positions 30 to 507 of the family's 1533-position model. The record is from RNAcentral.